This 1164-nucleotide ribosomal RNA is filed under the name Triticum aestivum (bread wheat). RNAcentral's name for it is "partial small subunit ribosomal RNA". Lineage: Eukaryota; Viridiplantae; Streptophyta; Magnoliopsida; Poales; Poaceae. The record is from RNAcentral.
AUGUACAAGAAGAAGAACACGCCGCUGGAGCAAAUCCUGCUGCGCCCGGACACCCACGUCGGCUCGGUCGAGAAGCACACGCAGACGCUCUGGGUCUACAAGGAAGGUGCCAUGGUGCAUAGCCCCGUCACCUACGUCCCCGGCCUCCACAACAUCUUCGACGAGAUCCUCGUCCAGGCCGCCGAUAACUUGCAGCGCGACCCCUCCAUGGACUCCCUCCGGGUCGACAUCGACGUCGAGCGGUGCUGUAUCUCUGUCUACAACAAUGGAAACGGCAUGCCCGUCGAAAUCCACCAGGAGGAGGGCCUCUACGUGCCGGAGAUGAUGCGAAUGAGCUACGGCGCCGUACUCGCCAACAUCUUCUCCACCGAGUUCGUCAUCGAGACCGCUGAUGGGCGCCGGCAGAAGAAGUUCAAGCAGGUUUUCUCUGAAAACAUGGGGAAGAAGUCGGAGCCUGAGAUUACAGAGUGUGAGCCGUCAGAUAACUGGACCAGAGUUACCUUCAAGCCUGACCUUGCGAAAUUCAACAUGACCGUGCUCGAAGAUGAUGCCGUGGCGCUCAUGAGGAAGCGAGUUGUUGAUAUGGCGGGCACCCUUGGCGAAACCGUGAAGGUUGAGUUGAAUGGUGAGAAGUUGUCGGCAAAAAGCUUCUCAGAUUACGUGCAACUGUAUAUUGACUCUGCUUCAAAAGAAGGAAUCGAGCUACCAAGAAUUUACCAAAGGGUAAACGAUCGUUGGGAGGUGUGUGUCAGUCUAAAUGAAGGCCAGUUUCAUCAGGUUAGUUUUGUAAAUCGAAUUGCGACCUUAAGAGGUGGAACUCAUGUUGACUACGUUGCAGACCAAAUUGCCAACCAUGUGAUGGGCGUUGUGAACAAGAGGAACAAGCAUGCUAACAUGAAAUUGCAUACGGUGAAGGGCUACCUAUGGGUAUUUGUUAAUGCGCUCAUUGAUAACCCUGCAUUUGAUUUACAGACCAAAGAGACCUUGACCACUCAUCAAGGAACCUUUGGGUCCAAGUGCGAGCUCUCUGAAGAUUUCCUUAACAGAGUCUCCAACUCGGGUGUUGUCAACAAGCUCCUUUCUUUUGCUGAGUUCAGACUAAGCAAGGGACUACAUAAGACUGAUGGAAGCAAGAGGAAAGUUUUGUUGCCAUCCCUAAGCUAG